UACGGAGGGUGCGAGCGUUAAUCGGAAUCACUGGGCGUAAAGCGCGCGUAGGCGGCUUUUCAAGUCAGGGGUGAAAUCCCACGGCCCAACCGUGGAACUGCCUUUGAAACUGUAGAGCUUGAGUGUCGGAGAGGGUGGCGGAAUUCCAGGUGUAGGAGUGAAAUCCGUAGAUAUCUGGAGGAACGCCGGUGGCGAAGGCGGCCACCUGGACGACAACCGACGCUGAGGUGCGAAAGCGUGGGUAGCAAACAGG
This 253-nucleotide ribosomal RNA is filed under the name uncultured bacterium. Its description in RNAcentral is "partial 16S ribosomal RNA". It matches the Rfam family "Bacterial small subunit ribosomal RNA", at positions 524 to 776 of the family's 1533-position model. The record is from RNAcentral.